UCUGCAGCACGCGCCUAA
RNAcentral lists this small nuclear RNA (18 nucleotides) under Arabidopsis thaliana (thale cress). Its description in RNAcentral is "snRNA_15782". The record is from RNAcentral. Lineage: Eukaryota; Viridiplantae; Streptophyta; Magnoliopsida; Brassicales; Brassicaceae.